This 252-nucleotide ribosomal RNA is filed under the name uncultured bacterium. RNAcentral's name for it is "partial 16S ribosomal RNA". It matches the Rfam family "Bacterial small subunit ribosomal RNA", at positions 524 to 776 of the family's 1533-position model. The record is from RNAcentral.
UACGGGGGGGCAAGCGUUGUUCGGAAUUACUGGGCGUAAAGAGCUCGUAGGCGGUCUGUCGCGUCUGCUGUGAAAACUCAGGGCUUAACCCUGAGCUUGCAGUGGGUACGGGCAGACUAGAGUGCGGUAGGGGAGACUGGAAUUCCUGGUGUAGCGGUGAAAUGCGCAGAUAUCAGGAGGAACACCGGUGGCGAAGGCGGGUCUCUGGGCCGUAACUGACGCUGAGGAGCGAAAGCAUGGGGAGCGAACAGG